UACGAAGGGGGCUAGCGUUGCUCGGAAUCACUGGGCGUAAAGGGUGCGUAGGCGGGUUAUUAAGUCAGAGGUGAAAUCCUGGAGCUCAACUCCAGAACUGCCUUUGAUACUGAUAGUCUUGAGUACGGGAGAGGUGAGCGGAACUGCGAGUGUAGAGGUGAAAUUCGUAGAUAUUCGCAAGAACACCAGUGGCGAAGGCGGCUCACUGGCCCGUUACUGACGCUGAGGCACGAAAGCGUGGGGAGCAAACAGG
This 253-nucleotide ribosomal RNA is filed under the name uncultured bacterium. Its description in RNAcentral is "partial 16S ribosomal RNA". It matches the Rfam family "Bacterial small subunit ribosomal RNA", at positions 524 to 776 of the family's 1533-position model. The record is from RNAcentral.